CGCGUAGGUAAUCUAUCCUUGUAUUUGGGAUAACAUCGGGAAAUUGAUGCUAAUACCAAAUGGUCUUCAUUUCUGUUAGGGAGAUGGAGUAAAGGUGGCCUCUUCAUGAAAGCUACCGUAUAGGGAUGAGCCUGCGUACCAUUAGCUAGUAGGUGGGGUAAUGGCCCACCUAGGCUACGAUGGUUAGCGGGUCUGAGAGGAUGAUCCGCCACACUGGAACUGAAACACGGACCAG
Molecule: ribosomal RNA, 235 nt
Filed under: uncultured bacterium
Lineage: Bacteria
Description: partial 16S ribosomal RNA
Rfam family: Bacterial small subunit ribosomal RNA
Source: RNAcentral